GAAAGAGCCAAGAGGAAUUCUUCUCUCCCCUGAUGAGUCCAGUUUCUUCUGCUGUUACUUACAGCCAUCUAUGUCAUGUUAGAGGAGGUUUGUUAGGGAUGAGAAAAGGCAUAAUUUUGAGAGACAAUCCACAAUUGCUUGUGGACAUUUGGAACUAAGAUAUGCCAUUGGGCCUGUGGAGUGAAGAGCAACCAGACAUUUCAAGGGAGAAAUAAUGGCGAUGUGAGCAUCCAAACAGAACCUCGUCUGAUGCAAGAGACACGAACCCAAUAAAAAUGUGCUUUACCCUUCAUUUCUCUAGAGUUCACAAAUCUGAGCAGGUUUAAACUCAGACCAGGUUUUGAUCUCAGUGUGCAGCCUGAGCAUAUGUCACAGAACUGCUGAAGUGGAUGAUGAACACAUAUCUGCUACCUGCACAUCAGGUGGAGAAGGGAGACCCAUGAUGUUUCUCUUCACCCAGUAAUUAUGAGUAUACAGAGAAAAUGUGAUCAUUUCUGGAGAGGACCCACCUCACUGCCUC
RNAcentral lists this long non-coding RNA (520 nucleotides) under Fukomys damarensis (Damara mole-rat). RNAcentral's name for it is "lncRNA (ENSFDAG00000023929.1)". The record is from RNAcentral. Lineage: Eukaryota; Metazoa; Chordata; Mammalia; Rodentia; Bathyergidae.